This is a long non-coding RNA of Hemicordylus capensis (graceful crag lizard), 546 nucleotides long. RefSeq lists it as uncharacterized. The record is from RefSeq and is a predicted model, not a curated record. Lineage: Eukaryota; Metazoa; Chordata; Lepidosauria; Squamata; Cordylidae. The transcript is spliced from 3 exons.
ACAUAAACCUCUGGCUUCUAAGAAUGCAGAUGAUGCUGGUUCCAUCUUGAGUCCUGUCCUGUUCUGUCUACCAUCCCCGGAACCCAAAUGUAACAAUAAUGCAAGCUAAGCAGGGAUAGAAUUGACUGUUAGAGGCCCGACUGCAAUCUCAUUGAGCCUAUGCCCCAGAUAUCUUUUCCUUAACAAAAAGCAAAAUUUUGCUGCCAAGACAUUGAAUUCACAAGUGGUGAUUCAAUCCCUGCAUUAAGAGAUGGGGUGCCACACUUCUGACCCUGAAACAUAGGAGACCAGCAGAACAUCAGAACAACAAACUGUCUGAUUUACAGAUGUUACCCAAGGUCAUAAGAACAAUACUUCAGAAAACAUUCAGCACUCCUUGCUCCAGGCCGUCAAUGUUUCUGGCACGGCCUGCUCCUGCCCCUUUCUGCAAGCUGUAUCUUGCUCUUCCUCCAAGGAGCUCCAGGUGGCAUGCAGCAGUUGCUGAGUCUCAAGUUAUAAAACCAACCCUAUCUCUCAAGUACCAUUAAAAGCUCAUUCUUCUAGCUA